CUGAUGUCAUGUGUUAAUACAUGGUUUGGGAUGUUAAUAAGUAAGUUUUGAAAUUCUUGUGUGAUGUUUCAAAGCAAAUUAAGAUUGCCCCCCAAAAAUAUUCAAGUUGAAUGUUUUAAGAAUGAUUUUUUAAGAAACAAAAUCUGUAUUAAAUUUUUUAUUCUGUAUAUAAAAUGAAAACAUUUAUAAAAAGGUUGAAAUGAGAAAAGAAUAAAGGUACAUUUUCUCAUAAUUCUGAGAAGAAGCUAAAUUCUCUCCCUCUCUUGAAAACAUUUUACUUUGUUUCUUUCAGCUUCUUAAUUCUAUAUGUGUGUUUAUGUCACAAAUGUCAAAUUGUAAAUGGGUAAGGCUUUUUUCUUUUAAAAGAGUUAAUGAUUUGUAAACUGUAAUUGCAAUUUGUUACUUCUAGGAGUCCCCUGCCUAGGCUUUAUGCCUUUUUUUGGAAAAACCACACUAGUUUGAUACUUAAAGCAUUUCUGAAAAUAAAAGGCAAAA
This 495-nucleotide long non-coding RNA is filed under the name Bos taurus (domestic cattle). RNAcentral's name for it is "long non-coding RNA NONBTAT009315". Lineage: Eukaryota; Metazoa; Chordata; Mammalia; Artiodactyla; Bovidae. The record is from RNAcentral.